This 457-nucleotide ribosomal RNA is filed under the name uncultured bacterium. Its description in RNAcentral is "partial 16S ribosomal RNA". It matches the Rfam family "Bacterial small subunit ribosomal RNA", at positions 28 to 523 of the family's 1533-position model. The record is from RNAcentral.
AACGAACGCUGGCGGCGCGCCUAACACAUGCAAGUCGAGCGCAGGGUUUCGGCCCUGAGCGGCGCACGGGUGAGUAACGCGUGGGAACCUGCCCUGGGGUUCGGGACAACGGCUGGAAACGGCCGCUGACACCGGAUACGGCCUACCGCAAGGGAGGCGAAAGUUCACGCCCUGGGAUGGGCCCGCGUCCGAUUAGCUGGUUGGUGGGGUAACGGCCCACCAAGGCUGCGAUCGGUAGCCGGUCUGAGAGGAUGAUCGGCCACACUGGGACUGAGACGCGGCCCAGACUCCUACGGGAGGCAGCAGUGGGGAAUCUUGGACAAUGGGGGCAACCCUGAUCCAGCGACGCCGCGUGGGUGACGAAGGCCUUCGGGUUGUAAAGCCCUUUUGCCGGGGACGAUGAUGACGGUACCCGGAAAACAAGCACCGGCUAACUCCGUGCCAGCCGCCGCCGUAA